This 473-nucleotide ribosomal RNA is filed under the name Aspergillus niger. Its description in RNAcentral is "eukaryotic LSU rRNA". The stretch from base 131 to 284 matches the Rfam family "5.8S ribosomal RNA". Lineage: Eukaryota; Fungi; Ascomycota; Eurotiomycetes; Eurotiales; Aspergillaceae. The record is from RNAcentral.
UUCGGCGGGCCCGCCGCUUGUCGGCCGCCGGGGGGGCGCCUCUGCCCCCCGGGCCCGUGCCCGCCGGAGACCCCAACACGAACACUGUCUGAAAGCGUGCAGUCUGAGUUGAUUGAAUGCAAUCAGUUAAAACUUUCAACAAUGGAUCUCUUGGUUCCGGCAUCGAUGAAGAACGCAGCGAAAUGCGAUAACUAAUGUGAAUUGCAGAAUUCAGUGAAUCAUCGAGUCUUUGAACGCACAUUGCGCCCCCUGGUAUUCCGGGGGGCAUGCCUGUCCGAGCGUCAUUGCUGCCCUCAAGCCCGGCUUGUGUGUUGGGUCGCCGUCCCCCUCUCCGGGGGGACGGGCCCGAAAGGCAGCGGCGGCACCGCGUCCGAUCCUCGAGCGUAUGGGGCUUUGUCACAUGCUCUGUAGGAUUGGCCGGCGCCUGCCGACGUUUUCCAACCAUUCUUCCAGGUGACCUCGAUCAGGUAUGA